UAUAUAAUAAUGCUUUCAUAUUAUGGUGGAGCAAUUUCAUAGCAAAAAAUAAAAAACAUAACGACAAUGGCGCAAAUAUUACAAAAAGAAUAAAUAAGAAAUAUAAAACUAGUGUAGAAUUUGCAAUUUUUACGAUAAAAACUGUUUUUUUUUUUUUUUUAUUAUAUUUAUUAUCAGAAGUAAGAUAUUAAACAUUAAAUUUUUAGUAUAUUGUGCGAUGGUGCUAUUGUGUUAUGUUGUUUUUUUUUAUCUAUUCAUGUUUUAUAUACAAUAAUUCGAUUAAUGCAUAACGUAUAUAUAUAUAUAUAUAUAUUAGCUAUAUGCUCAUAUAAAUUUUUGCUUUACGUUACUCUUGUUGUAAUUUGUUUACAGAAUAGAGAUAACAAUAGGAAUGGUUUAAUAGGAAUUAUUAAAAAAAAAAAAAAAAGUAUGAUAUACGCAAGACAGUUAACAGAAUACCACGUAGAUGAAAAAAGGAAUGACAUAGCUAGCUUGUAUGGCGGUUUGAGUGGCAUGGCGAAAGCACCUGCUGUCAUGAAUACAGACAGUAUAUAUGAAAAAGUAUUUAAUACUUAUAGUUCGAGAACAUAUGCUAAUAAAAAUGAAAGUACACAUUCCAAGUAUAAUAGUAAAAAUAACAUACAAAUUGAUACAAAUAAAAGAUCUACUUUGAUAAAUAUGCAACCGAAAGGUGGCACUUAUCAAACGAAAAAUACCGGAGAUAUAUCUAACAAUGUUAGAGUGCCUGAAAACGGAACUCAUAAAGAUGAGUACGUAUUUGGUAAUGAUAAAAAAAAAGAUCAGAAUGUAAAACAAUCUUAUCACCCGACGUUUGAACAAAGAGAAAAUAGUGCUAAAAGCAUAGAAGAUAGCAAAAUGGAUGACUAUGAAAAUGUUUUUAAAAAAAUUGCAACAAACAUAGGAAAAAGAAAUAAAAACAAAACAACUGUUAGCGCAAGAACAGAAAACAUUUUGUCAUUAGAUGAAUGUGACAAAUCAUAUGAAACGUUUUUUAAAGCUUGUACUACGAAGAAAAAAAUGGAGGCUGAUGCGAUAACAUAUGUUCCUGAGACAUCAUCAAAUAUUUCUGUAAAUCAAAACGAACAAAAUAAAAGAGAACAAACAAAAAAUAAAUCUCAGAGCAAAACUGAUUAUGUGCCUAAAAAUUAUGAAUUUUAUUUAAAUAAUAUAGAUAUGUCAUUCAUAAAUACUUCACAUGAAUUAAAAGAAAUAUUAAAAAAACAUACUAAAAACUUUGAUACUUUACAAAUGCUUCUGUUAUAUAAUAUGGAAAUUAGUAUUAUGAGAUAUUAUUUUCUCGGUAUACAAAACGAAUUAUUUAGAAGUUGGGAUAUUUUAACAAGUGCAUAUCAUAUGAAUCCCUAUUAUAAAAAUAAAUAUUGGAAAAAAUUUUAUACCCAAAUAAUAAAGGAAGUAUUUUAUAAGGAAAAAAAGUAUUUACAUGAAUUAUAUUGUACUCUUCAAAAUGGAAAUUGCUCAAAUAGUUAUUUAAGACACAUUCUUUAUAGAUUUGAUAUAAAGUAUAAAAUAUUUUUAAGUAACUUGUUUUAUGCUUAUAAAAAACAUUUUCGUAAAAAAAUCAAGCAGUACUUUAAUGUGUUCAUAUUGGAUAUUUAAAGCAGUUUUUAAAAAAUAUGCGUUUAUAAAAAAAAUGCCGCAUUUUCUAUGGAUACCUAUAUUUGUUGUCCUUGAUUAUAUUAUUUUAAGUACGUAUGUCUAGAUGGAAAUAAUAAAAAAAAAUUAAAACGGACUGUUUAGCGGUAA
Long non-coding RNA from Piliocolobus tephrosceles (Ugandan red Colobus), 1785 nucleotides. Lineage: Eukaryota; Metazoa; Chordata; Mammalia; Primates; Cercopithecidae. The record is from Ensembl.